This 1758-nucleotide long non-coding RNA is filed under the name Brassica rapa (field mustard). RNAcentral describes it as "long non-coding RNA (BRAP_LNC004111)". The record is from RNAcentral. Lineage: Eukaryota; Viridiplantae; Streptophyta; Magnoliopsida; Brassicales; Brassicaceae.
GCACGUGUACCUAACCUUCCAGGUAAGAAACUUAGAGCAUCCACAUCAAUGAACCCUCUCUUGGGGUUCAUCUUUUCAGUUUUUUAUUAUUAAAAUUUUUUUCUUUUUCUUUUUGGUUUUUCCUUUAAAAAAAAAAAAAACUAGACCAAUCGCGGGCCGCCACGACAUGUGGGGCCCGCGCUACAGUGAUGAACUUUAGGAGAGAGGGGUUCAGCCAAGAGAGCUUUAGAAGAGAGGGGUUCAUGGGAUUGUAUUAUUUUUUUAUUUUUUUUCUUGAUUUCUGUGUGAACUCCUCCCAUAAACUCUCAAUGGGGGUGCUCUUAUGAAACAGCAGUUGAACCAAGUAAUUUAAACCAUACCCUAAGCUAAGAUCAUUAAUUUUGUGUCAACACAGAGAAUAGCGAAUAAAGGUCUUCUUCGAGGUUGAGUAGCUUUGCAUAGAGAGCUAUAGACUCAUUCAAUAUAUCUUACACAAUUAGAUAUAUAAAGCCAAUGUUGUGGCUUUGACCCAAAAAAAAGAGAAGCCAAUUUUGUGGCCUAUCUGCUAGCGAAAAUUUCACGUUUUUUUUUGUAACACUUUCACGUUUUAUAUAGAAUAUACAAUGUUUGAGGAAAAACAAACUAACGUUUAAAUAAUUACGUAAUACAUUAGCUAGUAAAACUGCCUCAACAAGUCGAUGGUACCAAGACACAAUGGCCUAAUUCACGUAAAGAAGCAAAAAUAAAUAACUUUAUAUUUAAGCUAGUAAGAACUUGGAAAAUGAGAUACCACUGCUCAAUUCUUUUUCUUUUGAUGCAUGCUAAGUAGACCAUACAUUGUAAUGUUGCUUUCAUGAUGGGGAUAAGGAUGGAUCUACGCUUUGGAAACAAAGCUAAAUAAUAUAUGUGAACCUACUGUGUAUACUUAUAUGAUAUAUAUCUUGUAUCUGUAAAUAUAUCUUUUCCACUGGCGAUAUUGUCAGGGACUUAGUCAAAAAUAUUUGCUGCAAAGUCCGCAUAGGGUUGGCCAUAGCCUUGAAAAUUUUCUUUCAUUCUUUUUUUUUUUUUUUUUUUUUGAAACACUGAAAAUUUUCUUUCAUUCAAUCUCGUUUUUUCUAACUGGACCCAUUUCCAUGCUCUUUUUUUUGAUAAAAAAUUUAAAUAAAAUUUUGAUAAAAUCUUUCCAAUAGAGUAUAAAAUACCUUCAAUCUAAAUAUACUAUAAUUUGGAAGCGAUAAUGUGUUUAUAUUAUUUUAUUAAUUUCAAUGUCUCUAGCUCAUUUAAUUGUAUUAUUGUACUAUAAUGGACCCAUAAGUGAUCAAUCACUUAUUUGAACGUACUUUAAAGGUUUGUAUGUAUUAGAAAGUUAUCUCUCUUUUUCUUAUAUAACUGUUUAGAAUAUGAAAUUCAAAUUUAACUUCUUAGUGAUGCUUAUGCUCGUGAUACAAAGGCAUAUAUGUUAAUCAGAUACAUAAAUUUUGGGAGGCUACAAUAAAACGAAAUGAUUCAGCGAUUUAUUGUCUAAAGUAAAUUACAAAGUUGAGAGAAGUGUUGGCAAGUCCGAUUCGGUUCUAGACCGGUACACAUGCCACACUAAAAACUUUGUGACUUUGUCUUGUCUUUUCAAACGAACUAAUAAAUAUAUGAUGUAAGAAAUAUAACUGACUUUUAUUUUAAGUACAUUAAUUAAACAUUGAAGAAGGAAAAUAAAAAGUAAAAGAGAUGCCAAGCUAUAUUUAUAUAUGUGGCUACAUGAAAGAUUUGGUCAAGUUGCAUUAG